ACGAACGCUGGCGGCGUGCUUAACACAUGCAAGUCGAGCGGUAAGGCCCUUUCGGGGGUACGACGAGCGGCGAACGGGUGAGUAACACGUGGGUGACCUGCCCUCCAGCUCUGGGAUAAGCCUGGGAAACCGGGGUCUAAUACUGGAUAUGACUCCAUGACGCAUGUUGUGGGGUGGAAAGCCUUGUGCGGCUGAGGAUGGGCCCGCGGCCUAUCAGCUUGUUGGUGGGGGUGAGGCCUACCAAGGCGACGACGGGUAGCCGGCCUGAGAGGGCGGACCGGCCGACACUGGGACGUGAGACACGG
RNAcentral lists this ribosomal RNA (305 nucleotides) under uncultured bacterium. Its description in RNAcentral is "bacterial SSU rRNA". It matches the Rfam family "Bacterial small subunit ribosomal RNA", at positions 29 to 329 of the family's 1533-position model. The record is from RNAcentral.